CCUACGGGAGGCAGCAGUGGGGAAUAUUGCACAAUGGGGGAAACCCUGAUGCAGCGACGCCGCGUGAGUGAAGAAGUAUUUCGGGAUGUAAAGCUCUAUCAGCAGGGAAGAAAAUGACGGUACCUGACUAAGAAGCCCCGGCUAACUACGUGCCAGCAGCCGCGGUAAUACGUAGGGGGCAAGCGUUAUCCGGAUUUACUGGGUGGAAAGGGAGCGUAGACGGCCAGACAAGUCAGAAGUGAAAGCCCAGGGCUCAACCCUGGGACUGCUUUUGAAACUGCCGGGCUGGAGUGCAGGAGAGGUAAGUGGAAUUCCUAGUGUAGCGGUGAAAUGCGUAGAUAUUAGGAGGAACACCAGUGGCGAAGGCGGCUUACUGGACUGUAACUGACGUUGAGGCUCGAAAGCGUGGGGAGCAAACAGGAUUAGAUACCCUUGUAGUC
RNAcentral lists this ribosomal RNA (440 nucleotides) under uncultured bacterium. Its description in RNAcentral is "partial 16S ribosomal RNA". It matches the Rfam family "Bacterial small subunit ribosomal RNA", at positions 338 to 795 of the family's 1533-position model. The record is from RNAcentral.